UACGUAGGGUGCAAGCGUUGUCCGGAAUUAUUGGGCGUAAAGAGCUCGUAGGCGGUUUGUUGCGUCGGCUGUGAAACCCACGGCUCAACCGUGUGGUCUGCAGUCGAUACGGGCAGGCUAGAGUUCGGUAGGGGAGACUGGAAUUCCUGGUGUAGCGGUGAAAUGCGCAGAUAUCAGGAGGAACACCGGUGGCGAAGGCGGGUCUCUGGGCCGAUACUGACGCUGAGGCACGAAAGCGUGGGGAGCAAACAGG
RNAcentral lists this ribosomal RNA (253 nucleotides) under uncultured bacterium. RNAcentral's name for it is "partial 16S ribosomal RNA". It matches the Rfam family "Bacterial small subunit ribosomal RNA", at positions 524 to 776 of the family's 1533-position model. The record is from RNAcentral.